CUGAGGCGUGAAAGAGAAGAAGACAGGCAAGAUCUGGGGAAGGAACAUCCAGGCAGAGCGGACAGGCUGUCCAAGAGGGCGUCCAAGGAGCAGAAGUAAGGCUUGUGAGUUGGUUCACGGGAAGGAGUUUGUUUAAAAUCUGUAUGAGCAACUUGAGAAGAUAAUUUCGGCUUUGCUACUUGCAUUCUUCCUAUUGCCCACCAGAGGGCACUCAAGCACCCGCCAGGCGGAGUUCCCUAACCCGUGGAUUCCUCAACCGCACCCAGCAUCUUCCCAGGCUGGAGCUGAGUUAGAACAAGGGAAAGUUGACCCGCUAAGUGUCUUCUGAAAGGGCCAUCUAAAUGGUGUCAAGAGAAGCCGCCGCCUGUGACUGAGAAAAAUACAAAUGACACUCAUGCGAGCCCAGUAGGAUGUACAGCCACUGCCUCUCUGCGGUCACGUUUGCUGUGUUAUUCACAUUCCCAGAGGAAAAAGCUGUGUGCCUGGCUUUAGCAUUCUUUCCAGCAGUCUUUAUUUCCUCUUCUCGGGCACAUUAGGGAAUGUUUUGUACCUUGUCACA
This 559-nucleotide long non-coding RNA is filed under the name Homo sapiens (human). RNAcentral describes it as "HSALNT0386138". Lineage: Eukaryota; Metazoa; Chordata; Mammalia; Primates; Hominidae. The record is from RNAcentral.